UGGGGAAUAUUGCGCAAUGGGCGAAAGCCUGACGCAGCAACGCCGUGUGAGGGAUGAAGGCUUUCGGGUCGUAAACCUCUGUCAGAAGGGAAGAACGGGUGAUGGUCUAAUAGGCCGUCAUUUUGACGGUACCUUCAGAGGAAGCACCGGCUAACUCCGUGCCAGCAGCCGCGGUAAUACGGAGGGUGCAAGCGUUAUUCGGAAUUACUGGGCGUAAAGCGCACGUAGGCGGCCUUGUAAGUCAGGGGUG
This 250-nucleotide ribosomal RNA is filed under the name uncultured bacterium. RNAcentral describes it as "partial 16S ribosomal RNA". It matches the Rfam family "Bacterial small subunit ribosomal RNA", at positions 355 to 596 of the family's 1533-position model. The record is from RNAcentral.